This 498-nucleotide ribosomal RNA is filed under the name uncultured bacterium. RNAcentral describes it as "partial 16S ribosomal RNA". It matches the Rfam family "Bacterial small subunit ribosomal RNA", at positions 899 to 1397 of the family's 1533-position model. The record is from RNAcentral.
ACUCAAAGGAAUUGACGGGGACCCGCACAAGCGGUGGAUUAUGUGGAUUAAUUCGAUGCAACGCGAAAAACCUUACCUACCCUUGACAUGCCAGGAACCUCGCAGAGAUGUGAGGGUGCCCGAAAGGGAACCUGGACACAGGUGCUGCAUGGCUGUCGUCAGCUCGUGUCGUGAGAUGUUGGGUUAAGUCCCGCAACGAGCGCAACCCUUGCCAUUAGUUGCCACAUUCAGUUGGGCACUCUAAUGGGACUGCCGGUGACAAACCGGAGGAAGGUGGGGAUGACGUCAAGUCCUCAUGGCCCUUAUGGGUAGGGCUUCACACGUAAUACAAUGGCCGGUACAGAGGGCAGCCAACCCGCGAGGGGGAGCUAAUCCCAGAAAGCCGGUCGUAGUCCGGAUUGCAGUCUGCAACUCGACUGCAUGAAGCCGGAAUCGCUAGUAAUCGCGGAUCAGCAUGUCGCGGUGAAUACGUUCCCGGGUCUUGUACACACCGCCCGU